RNAcentral lists this ribosomal RNA (460 nucleotides) under uncultured bacterium. Its description in RNAcentral is "partial 16S ribosomal RNA". It matches the Rfam family "Bacterial small subunit ribosomal RNA", at positions 338 to 795 of the family's 1533-position model. The record is from RNAcentral.
CCUACGGGGGGCAGCAGUGAGGAAUAUUGGUCAAUGGCCGCAGGGCUGAACCAGCCAAGUCGCGUGAGGGAUGACGGUCCUAUGGAUUGUAAACUUCUUUUGUCAGGGAGCAAAGUGCGCCUCGGGUGGCUUUUUGCGAGUACUUGAAGAAAAAGCAUCGGCUAACUCCGUGCCAGCAGCCGCGGUAAUACGGCGGAUGCGAGCGUUGUCCGGAAUUAUUGGGCGUAAAGGGUGCGUAGGCGGCAUGUAAAGGCAGGUGUUAAAGGCGCGGGCUCAACCGGUGUAUGGCAGUUGAUACUUGCAGGCUGGAGUGCGGUAGAGGUAAGGGGAAUGCGUGGUGUAGCGGUGAAAUGCUUAGAUAUCAGGAAGAACAUCGAUGGCGAAGGCAGUUUACUGGGCCGUAAUUGACGCUGAGGAACGAAAGCGAGGGUAGCAAAUGGGAUUAGAUACCCUUGUAGUC